RNAcentral lists this ribosomal RNA (425 nucleotides) under uncultured bacterium. RNAcentral's name for it is "partial 16S ribosomal RNA". It matches the Rfam family "Bacterial small subunit ribosomal RNA", at positions 354 to 796 of the family's 1533-position model. The record is from RNAcentral.
GUGGGGAAUCUUGCGCAAUGGGCGAAAGCCUGACGCAGCCAUGCCGCGUGAAUGAUGAAGGUCUUAGGAUUGUAAAAUUCUUUCACCGGGGACGAUAAUGACGGUACCCGGAGAAGAAGCCCCGGCUAACUUCGUGCCAGCAGCCGCGGUAAUACGAAGGGGGCUAGCGUUGCUCGGAAUUACUGGGCGUAAAGGGAGCGUAGGCGGAUAGUUUAGUCAGAGGUGAAAGCCCAGGGCUCAACCUUGGAAUUGCCUUUGAUACUGGCUGUCUUGAGUACGGGAGAGGUGAGUGGAACUCCGGGUGUAGAGGUGAAAUUCGUAGAUAUUCGGAAGAACACCAGUGGCGAAGGCGACUCACUGGCCCGUUACUGACGCUGAGGCGCGAAAGCGUGGGGAGCAAACAGGAUUAGAAACCCGAGUAGUCC